CAGAACACAUAAAUCAAGGAACCAGCUCUGUUUGAACGAAAAGGUUAACGCCAUGCAAAGCGAGUCGUGGCGACUGUGUUCUAAAACGAGCGGCUAUCUCUCCCUGUUUCUUUAUCUGUUUCAACGACCGUAACGGCCACGUUACGGUAAGGCGGCGACUUCACAUGGCGCAAGAAAAAAAAAAAAAUCAGCAUACAUGGCGUGAUGGUGGCCUGAUGUCUGCCAAAACAGAAAUUUGACCAGCCAAAGUAUUCCCACGAAAAGAGUCGGAUCAGAACAGUCACAAAACAACAUGAAUUUUUAUCUGAAUUUUGUGAUGUCUGAGCAAAGUUUAAAAUGAAAAAAAGGAAGAUGAUUCCAAGUCCACAACAUCCUUGGAGUUAUACUACGAGGUAUAUCUAGGGGUGGAUCUUCAUCUUCUGUCAAAGUCUGGCACAGUUGUAUUAUGAAGCUCAAGGAAACCUAUUGUGUAAUGCAACCACACGGCCCUAGUGACCUCACGUGAUAAGACUAAAAUCCGUGAUAGAGGAAAUGAAAUGGUACCAUUUUUACAACGCAAGCAAAUUUGGAAAAUUUGGAUGUCGCCACAUGUUGACGCCAUGCUAAUCUGCCACGUCCGCUUUUGAUAAGGAGAAAUAAAGCGUUCUGAAAGUAUUCCAGGUAAAAUGUGUCUACGUCAACAGAAAAGACGCGGAUGCGAACUUGAGUUGCCGCCAAUUGGCACUUGUUUUUAGACCUAAAUCCGAGAUGCGCCAAUUUUUAAGUUAUUAAUACUUUUUUUUUUUCACUUUAAGUGAUCUUUAAAAAGACUGACCUGAAGGUUACUAAAAAAUUCAA
This is a long non-coding RNA of Daphnia carinata, 837 nucleotides long. RefSeq lists it as uncharacterized. The record is from RefSeq and is a predicted model, not a curated record. The transcript is spliced from 5 exons. NCBI's taxonomy places the organism in Eukaryota, Metazoa, Arthropoda, Branchiopoda, Diplostraca, Daphniidae.